Molecule: ribosomal RNA, 253 nt
Filed under: uncultured bacterium
Lineage: Bacteria
Description: partial 16S ribosomal RNA
Rfam family: Bacterial small subunit ribosomal RNA
Source: RNAcentral
UACGUAGGGACCAAGCGUUGUUCGGAUUUAUUGGGCGUAAAGAGCGUGUAGGCGGCCAUACAGGUCAGCUGUGAAAACUCGAGGCUCAACCUCGAGACGUCGGUUGAAACCGUUUGGCUAGAGUCCGGAAGAGGAGAGUGGAAUUCCCGGUGUAGCGGUGAAAUGCGCAGAUAUCGGGAAGAACACCCGUGGCGAAGGCGGCUCUCUGGGACGGUACUGACGCUGAGACGCGAAAGCGUGGGGAGCGAACAGG